Molecule: transfer-messenger RNA, 302 nt
Filed under: Synechococcus sp. RSCCF101
Lineage: Bacteria; Bacillati; Cyanobacteriota; Cyanophyceae; Synechococcales; Synechococcaceae
Description: Cyanobacteria transfer-messenger RNA
Rfam family: Cyanobacteria transfer-messenger RNA
About the family: Bacterial tmRNA, also known as 10Sa RNA or SsrA, is named for its dual tRNA and mRNA-like properties. Its role is to liberate the mRNA from a stalled ribosome. To accomplish this part of the tmRNA is used as a reading frame that ends in a translation stop signal.
Source: Rfam by way of RNAcentral
CUGUCAGAAUGAAUACGUCCACCAGUGGUGGACUAGGUGAUCCACACCAGUGUUUCGGACAGCGGUUCGAUUCCGCUCAGCUCCAUUCUCCGGCCCGAUCCAGGGCCAUCCCGGGGCUGCCAUGGUUUCGACGGGGCAUGAGGAGGGUGACUGAAGCCUGCUCGGUGAGAGCAAACCCGUAACAGCGAACAACAUCGUUCGUUUCUCCCGUCAGCCCGCCCCUGUGCUGGCCUGACCUUCUAAGGGAGAUGGGGUGAGGUCAGCCUUAUCACCCAAAUGACCCAUGGGGCCUGGAAGGGCCC